Molecule: ribosomal RNA, 439 nt
Filed under: uncultured bacterium
Lineage: Bacteria
Description: partial 16S ribosomal RNA
Rfam family: Bacterial small subunit ribosomal RNA
Source: RNAcentral
CUACGGGUGGCUCCAGUGAGGAAUAUUGCACAAUGGGGGAAACCCUAAUGCAGCAACGCCGCGUGGAGGAUGACGCAUUUCGGUGUGUAAACUCCUUUUAUGAGUCAAGAAAAUGACGGUAGCUCAUGAAUAAGCACCGGCUAACUCCGUGCCAGCAGCCGCGGUAAUACGGAGGGUGCAAGCGUUACUCGGAAUCACUGGGCGUAAAGGACGCGUAGGCGGGAUGUCAAGUCAGGUGUGAAAUCCUAUGGCUCAACCAUAGAACUGCACUUGAAACUGGCAACCUAGAGUAUGGGAGGGGGAGAUGGAAUUAGUGGUGUAGGGGUAAAAUCCGUAGAUAUCACUAGGAAUACCGAAAGCGAAGGCGAUCUCCUGGAACAUUACUGACGCUAAGGCGUGAAAGCGUGGGGAGCAAACAGGAUUAGAUACCCGUGUAGUC